UUAUUGAGAGCUUGAAUGAAGGGUUUAACAUAUAAUUUCUGUUUUUUGAUUAUUUAAUAAUUUAUGUUUUAUGUAAAAACACAUAGAUAUUCAAGAGGGACGAUAAGACCCUAAAAGCUUCAUCCUUCAAGAAUUGUUUUUUAUUGUUUUUAUCUUGAUUUUUUAUAUGGGAUUUGGCUGGGGCAGCAUUUUUUGUAAACAAAAAAAAAUUUUUUACAUAUUGGUUUAAAGGUCCUUUCUAUUGGGAUAAAUUGUUAAAGUUACUUUAGGGAUAACAGCGCGAUAAUAGUGGGGAGACCUUAUUUAUACUGUUGAUUGUGACCUCGAUGUUGAAUUAAUAUGUCUUUGUGAAGCAGAAAUUAUUUAAAGAGAGUUUGUUCAACUCUUAAAUUAUUACAUGAUCUGAUUUCAAA
Molecule: ribosomal RNA, 413 nt
Filed under: Talorchestia martensii
Lineage: Eukaryota; Metazoa; Arthropoda; Malacostraca; Amphipoda; Talitridae
Description: partial 16S ribosomal RNA
Rfam family: Archaeal large subunit ribosomal RNA (bases 92-413)
Source: RNAcentral